This is a non-coding RNA of Misgurnus anguillicaudatus (oriental weatherfish), 2245 nucleotides long. The record is from RefSeq and is a predicted model, not a curated record. NCBI's taxonomy places the organism in Eukaryota, Metazoa, Chordata, Actinopteri, Cypriniformes, Cobitidae.
UCGCGCGCGCGUGUGUAUGUACAGUAUGUGCGUGAGUUUUUAAUUUAAAAUGUCUUAACUUAACUCGGAAGGAUCUGAAUGACAGGUCAUUUCAUCUGAGAUCAUUCCGCAUGUAACAGCCGGAAUCACUCACUGUUUCCCACAACGACACAAGUCAUCAGCCGUUUCCUCAAGGUCACGUCAGAGCGUUGAUGAGGUGGAGAGGCAGACCAGACCACCACCAUACGCGAAGAUGAGCCUCGAGGCGUGACAGUUAUUUUUUUAAACUGGAGUUCGGACUCCGGACCGGCGUUUCUGCUUGUUUGUACCCUGAGAUAACCAUGGUUCAUAAAUGGUCAGACACGUCACUGGCUUUAAAAUAUAAACCCCAUUGAUGCAAAAAGAUGCUGCAUGGAAUGACAAUGUGGUUUGGAACAGACUUGGUGAAGAACAUGGAAACAUCUCCUAAUAAAAUGGCCCCAAACAUCAUCAGGAGUGCAAAAGAAGGAAGUAAAAAACAUCUCUACGCCAAUCUCAUUGGAGAGGAAACCACAAAAGGUCUGGUGAGGAAUGCUGCACUUAUGUUAUUGCAAGCAUUAUUUCAAGAAAAUCCCAGCUUCCUUGACUGUGUAAAUAGUGUAGGAACCCAAAGGUCCCACACCAAACAAAUUGUUCAACGGCUCUCCUGAUCUUCUCAAAUCUGAAAGUAUCAACUUUAUAAUGGACAAUGUGAACUUAAUAUGUGGAAGACAUUGACAUCACAGGCUGUGGAAUGACUGUGUCACAGGUCGGAGAAGCGGACCACCCCUGUAGCGGAUCGCGCGCUUCCUAGUUCCACCUCGAGGAGGUCCCAAAGCACCCCAAUGACCAGACAAACCAGAGAUAAGUAAAAUAUAGAAAUAGAAACUUUAUUUAAAUUAUUUAAAACUAAAGUGGGGAAUGGGAAAGGGAAUCUAAAAAUCUCGCUUCUCGCCCUCAGGGGGGAGUAUUACGGGGCCAGGGACGUUGGAGGGGUUUCCACGUGACUCCAGCUGGAACAACGCUACAGAGCGUAUCUGGGUGGGUUGGGCACACACCGUCGCGGCGGCCCCUGAUGGCAUCCACAAGGGUCCAAGACCCUCCUAAGCUCCUAGCCGUAGCAGAACUACGUAUUUCAGCACCCGAAGGACUAACAACCCAGCCGGCAUCUGCAGCGUAUAUCCAACGCGAUCAAACUUCACUCUGACAAGUAACUUCCUAUACACAACCACGCCGUCCUUUCGCCCGGACCAGCCCCGCACUCUUUCCGCCCGCUACCUAGCGGUCGCCGGAUCAGCAGAGCCUGCGGACUCUUCGGAGGCUGGUCUUCGUUGUGCUGCCCAAGGCGGAAGUUGACUCGCCCGAAAAUCGACCCUUCCAGUAACUUCUACCUUCUCUCUUUAUAUCCUCCUCCCAGGCGUGGCUCGCCCAACCAUCGCUCGCCACGUCACUCACACAGCUGUGCCUUGUUUCAGUGAGUGCGGGGAUUCCUGGGGAACCCUGAAGUGCCGGUGUCUGUACAAACCGGUCCGGGCGGAACCUCUUCACUCUCCUUUUGGUUCCGCCCCGCAUAGUCACUCCGUGACAACUGUUUGCGUUUUUUUUUCUCCUCAAUGUUCAAUACCCUUUUGCCAUUAAGCACACAGUCACUUUAAUUUAUAAAAUAUAUGCUUAAGUUUUAAUACCUGUACAAAACAAAUGUACAAUCAACUUGUGUAAAUUUUAAUAAAAAUUUAAGCUUUAAUUGCUUGUUCAUGUUAGUUCAGAGUGCAUUAACUAAUGUUAACAAGAUUUUAAUAAAGUAAUUGUUGAAAUUAACAUUAACAAAGAUUAAUAAAGGCUGUAUAAGUGCAGUUCAUUAUUAGUUCAUGUUAACUAAUGUAGCUAACUAAUGUUAACUAAUGAACCUUAUUGUAAAGUGUUACCGUGAUUUCUUUUCAUCAUUUCAGACACAUGUAAAAGUUACUAAAAAUUAAUACUGCAUAUACUGUACAGUAUCUAUGCGUAAGGGAAAUAACUUAAACAAAAUUUUUAAUGUAUAGUGUAAUUAAGAGUUUAGCUGUUUAAUACAGAGAUGCAAUUUAUUUAUAUAUAUUAUUUAUAUAUAAACGUAUGUAUGUUUAUUAAAAAGUGAAAAUGCUUAAUGGAAAUAAUUAAAUAACUAAAUGGUUGAAUGUAAUGAGACAUUUUAAAUGUAAACUAAAGUUUUGCUGUCUAAUACAGAAUAAAGAGAUGUGAUUUUAAGUAA